GGCUGGGCGCCCGGCGGCGGCGGAGCGCGGUCUGCGCGCGCGGGGAGCGAGAGCAGAAGUUAGAGACGCGCCGCGGGGGGAGCCCGCGCCGCAGCUUCCUGCCCCCGGCCCAGCCCUCCGGCCCCCGCGGCUGCAGCCCGACUUCCUCCCCCCGCCCGCCGCCUGCGCCUCGGACCCGGCCGCCGCGAUGGCACGCCGCGCCCGGGCCCCCGCGCGCCGCUGAGCCGAGCCCCGCGCCGCCGCCGAGCCCCCCGCGCGCCGCCGGCUGCCGCUCCCCUCGGCCCCGGGCCGGGAGCCGCGUCCCCCGCCGCCCUCCACCCCCCCGGAAAGCUGGAUCUCCGAGGCUGGAGGCGCCUGGCCGGCUGGGUGGGGACCACCAUGGGCAACGCGGCCGGCAGCGCGGAGCAGCCCGCGGGCCCGGCCGCCCCGGCCCCCAAGCAGCCCGCGGCGCCCAAGCAGCCGAUGCCCGCGGAGGGGGAGCUGGAGGAGCGGUUCAACCGCGUCCUGAACUGCAUGAACCUGCCCCCGGACAAGGUCCAGCUGCUGAGCCAAUAUGACAAUGAGAAGAAGUGGGAGCUCAUCUGUGACCAGGAGCGGUUUCAAGUCAAGAACCCGCCCACAGCUUACAUCCAGAAGCUGAAGAGCUACCUGGAAACGGGUGGGGUCAGCCGCAAGGUAGCAUCGGAUUGGAUGUCCAACCUGGGGUUUAAGAGGCGAGUCCAGGAGUCCACGCAGGUGCUGCGGGAGCUGGAGAUCUCCCUGAGGACGAACCACAUCGGGUGGGUGCAGGAGUUCCUCAACGAGGAGAACCGGGGCCUGGAUGUGCUCCUCGACUACCUGGCCUUCGCCCAGUGCUCCGUCACGUAUGACAUGGAGAGCACGGACAAUGGGGCCCCGGGCGCGGAGAAGAGCAAGGCCCUGGAGCAGUCCGUGGAAGACCUCAGCAAGGGCCCCCCCGCCCCCUCGGCAACACAGCCCAGGAGUCGGCACCUGACCGUCAAGUGCCCCCCUUCUCCCCGGCUGACGCCAGCCCACAGCAGGAAGACCCUGCGGAACUCCCGCAUCGUCAGCCAGAAGGAUGACGUCCACGUCUGCAUCAUGUGCUUGCGCGCCAUCAUGAACUACCAGUCUGGCUUCAGCCUCGUCAUGAGCCACCCAGCCUGUGUCAACGAGAUCGCGCUGAGCCUCAACAACAAGAACCCCAGAACCAAGGCGCUGGUGCUGGAGCUGCUGGCGGCUGUGUGCCUGGUGCGGGGAGGACACGACAUCAUCCUUGCAGCCUUUGACAACUUCAAGGAGGUGUGCGGGGAGCAGCACCGCUUUGAAAAGCUGAUGGAAUACUUCCGGCUGGAAGACAGCAACAUCGACUUCAUGGUGGCCUGCAUGCAGUUCAUCAACAUCGUGGUGCACUCCGUGGAGAACAUGAACUUCCGGGUCUUCCUGCAGUACGAGUUCACCCACCUGGGCCUGGACCUGUACCUGGAGAGGCUUCGGCUCACCGAGAGCGACAAGCUGCAGGUGCAGAUCCAGGCGUACCUGGACAACGUGUUCGACGUGGGCGUGCUGCUGGAGGACACGGAGACCAAGAACGCCGUGCUGGAGCACAUGGAGGAGCUGCAGGAGCAGGUGACCCUGCUCACAGAGCGGCUCCGGGACGCGGAGAACGACUCCAUGGCCAAGAUCGCGGAGCUGGAGAAGCAGCUGAGCCAGGCCCGCAAGGAGCUGGAGGCCAUGCGGGAGCGCUUCAGCGAUGCCGCGGCCGCGGGCGUCCCCAGGCGGCCGGAGCCAGAGAAGGUGCCCGCGCCCGCCGCCGCGGCCAGGCCCUCGGCUCUGGAGCUGAAGGUGGAGGAGCUGGAGGAGAAGGGGCUGCUCCGCAUCCUGCGGGGCCCCGGGGACGCUGUCUCCAUCGAGAUCCUCCCUGUCGCCGUGGCAACUCCAGGCGGCGGUGAUGCCCCGACGCUGGGCGUGCCCGCCAGCUCCCCCAGCCCAGAGCCGGCUCCCGGAGCGGCAGCCCCGCCGCCGCCGCCCCCGCUGCCCGGCCAGCCCGCCCCGCAGGAAGCCCCGCCCCCGGCCCCGCCCCUCCCCGGCGGCGGCGCGGAGGCCCCGCCCCCGCCGCCCCCUCUGCCCGGCGUCCUGCCGCCCCCGCCGCCGCCGCCGCCGCCUGGCCCGGGUGGACUGGUGCCCCCGCCGCCCCCACCGCCUCCCGGGGGCCCCUCUGACGGCGGUGCAGAGCCCGGCCCAGCCAUGGGCCCAGGAGUGAAGGCCAAGAAACCCAUCCAGACCAAGUUCAGAAUGCCCCUCUUAAACUGGGUGGCCCUGAAACCCAGCCAGAUCACGGGCACUGUCUUCACGGAGCUCAAUGAUGAGAAGGUGCUGCAGGAGCUGGACAUGAGUGAGUUUGAGGAGCAGUUCAAGACCAAGUCCCAAGGCCCCAGCCUGGACCUCAGUGCUCUCAAGGGUAAAGCGGCCCAGAAGGCCCCCAGCAAGGCCACGCUCAUUGAGGCCAACCGUGCCAAGAACCUGGCCAUCACCCUGCGCAAGGGCAACCUGGGGGCCGCCCGCAUCUGCCAGGCCAUUGAGACGUACGACCUCCAGGCCCUCAGCCUGGACUUCCUGGAGCUGCUGACCCGCUUCCUGCCCACGGAGUAUGAGCGCACCCUCAUCGCCCGCUUCGAGCGGGACCAGCGGCCGGUGGAGGAGCUGUCGGAGGAGGACCAGUUCAUGCUGCGCUUCAGCCGCAUCCCGCGCCUGCCGGAGCGCAUGGCUGCGCUGACCUUCAUGGGCAACUUCCCGGAUACCGUGCAGCUGCUCAUGCCGCAACUGAACGCCAUCAUCGCAGCCUCGAUGUCCAUUAAGUCGUCCGACAAACUCCGCCAGAUCCUGGAGAUUGUCCUGGCCUUCGGCAACUACAUGAACAGCAGCAAGCGGGGAGCAGCCUAUGGCUUCCGGCUCCAGAGUCUGGAUGCGCUGCUGGAGAUGAAGUCGACAGACCGAAAGCAGACCCUGUUGCACUACCUGGUGAAGGUCAUUGCUGAGAAGUACCCACAGCUCACAGGCUUCCACAGUGACCUGCACUUCCUGGACAAGGCAGGCUCAGUGUCGCUGGACAGCAUCCUCGGGGACGUGCGCGCCCUGCAGCGAGGCCUGGAGCAGACCCAGCGGGAGUUUGUGCGGCAGGAUGACUGUGUGGUGCUCAAGGAGUUCCUGAGGGCCAACUCGCCCACCAUGGAUAAGCUGCUGGCGGACAGCAAGACGGCUCAGGAGGCCUACGACUCUGUGGUGGAAUACUUCGGAGAAAACCCCAAAACCACGUCCCCCUCCAUGUUUUUUACCCUCUUCAGUCGCUUUGUCAAGGCCUACAAGAAAGCGGAGCAGGAGGUGGAGCAGUGGAAGAAAGAAGCGGCUGCGCAGGAGGCAGGCGCGGAAACGCCAGGCAAAGGGGAGUCCCCGGCACCCAAGUCCCCGCCCAGGGUUCGGAGGCCACAGAUGGACCUCAUUUCUGAGCUGAAGCGGAAGCAGCAGAAGGAGCCGCUCAUCUAUGAGAGUGACCGUGAUGGGGCCAUUGAAGACAUCAUCACAGUGCUCAAGACGGUGCCCUUCACGGCCCGCACUGGCAAGCGGACAUCCAGGCUCCUCUGUGAGGCCAGCCUGGGCGAGGAGAUCCCCCUCUAGCUCGCAGACCUGCGGAACCAGCCCUACAUCCGCUCCGACACCGGCCGCCGCAGCGCUCGCCGGAGACCCCCGGGGCCCCCCCUGCAGGCCACCUCGGACCUGUCGCUGUAGCCCCCGUUUCCGCAGACGGACUCUGGGGAUGGGGGAGAGGGGGCAAGAUGGGCUCAGGAAGGUGGUCCUCAGCUCGGCUGGGCCGGGCAGCCCCUCUGCCGCUGCCCCCAGCCAGGGGCUCACCGACGGGCAGGCGCACUCUCAUCUCGCUGCAGGGGUCAGAAUCGCCGGCCCUCCCCCAGAUGCUGCUUGCAGCACCUUCUCCCCGGAUAGCCAUACUGUACUUCGCCUCAGCGGGAGCCUGGCCGGUAACUUAUAACGUGCAACCUUGCCCCUCCCCGCAUCCGGGACUCUCCAUGGACUUAUUUUUAUACAAGAUUAAUAAAGAUGUUUGCAA
Pipistrellus kuhlii (Kuhl's pipistrelle) is the source of this 4120-nucleotide RNA transcript. It is a transcript of the gene named formin like 1, with no coding region annotated. The record is from RefSeq and is a predicted model, not a curated record. NCBI's taxonomy places the organism in Eukaryota, Metazoa, Chordata, Mammalia, Chiroptera, Vespertilionidae. The transcript is spliced from 29 exons.